Molecule: transfer RNA, 77 nt
Filed under: Donghicola eburneus
Lineage: Bacteria; Pseudomonadati; Pseudomonadota; Alphaproteobacteria; Rhodobacterales; Roseobacteraceae
Also listed under: 7 other names
Description: tRNA-Pro
Rfam family: tRNA
About the family: Transfer RNA (tRNA) molecules are approximately 80 nucleotides in length. Their secondary structure includes four short double-helical elements and three loops (D, anti-codon, and T loops). Further hydrogen bonds mediate the characteristic L-shaped molecular structure. tRNAs have two regions of fundamental functional importance: the anti-codon, which is responsible for specific mRNA codon recognition, and the 3' end, to which the tRNAs corresponding amino acid is attached (by aminoacyl-tRNA synthetases). tRNAs cope with the degeneracy of the genetic code in two manners: having more than one tRNA (with a specific anti-codon) for a particular amino acid; and 'wobble' base-pairing, i.e. permitting non-standard base-pairing at the 3rd anti-codon position.
Source: RNAcentral
CGGGGUGUAGCGCAGCCUGGUAGCGCGUCUGUUUUGGGUACAGAAGGCCGUGAGUUCGAAUCUCGCCUCCCCGACCA